RNAcentral lists this ribosomal RNA (432 nucleotides) under uncultured archaeon. RNAcentral describes it as "bacterial SSU rRNA". It matches the Rfam family "Archaeal small subunit ribosomal RNA", at positions 432 to 859 of the family's 1478-position model. The record is from RNAcentral.
UUAGCAAGGGCCGGGACAAGACCGGAUGCCAGCCGCCGCGUAUAACACCGGCGGCCCGAGGUGGUGAUCGUGAUUAUUGGGUCUAAAGGGUCCGUAGCCGGUUUGGUCAGUCCUCCGGGAAAUCUGAUAGCUCAACUAUUAGGCUUUCGGGGGAUACUGCCAGACUUGGAACCGGGAGAGGUAAGAGGUACUACAGGGGUAGGAGUGAAAUCUUGUAAUCCCUGUGGGACCACCUGUGGCGAAGGCGUCUUACCAGAACGGGUUCGACGGUGAGGGACGAAAGCUGGGGGCACGAACCGGAUUAGAUACCCGGGUAGUCCCAGCCGUAAACGAUGCUCGCUAGGUGUCAGGCAUGGCGCGACCGUGUCUGGUGCCGCAGGGAAGCCGUGAAGCGAGCCACCUGGGAAGUACGGCCGCAAGGCUGAAACUUAA